UACGUAGGUGGCAAGCGUUGUCCGGAUUUAUUGGGUUUAAAGGGUGCGUAGGUGGUCUAUUAAGUCAGUGCUGAAAUAUCCCGGCUUAACCGGGAGGGUGGCAUUGAUACUGAUGGACUUGAGUAGAGUCGAGAUAGGCGGAAUUGACGGUGUAGCGGUGAAAUGCUUAGAUAUCGUCAAGAACACCUAUAGCGAAGGCAGCUUACUAGGCUCUAACUGACACUGAGGCACGAAAGUGUGGGGAUCAAACAGG
This 253-nucleotide ribosomal RNA is filed under the name uncultured bacterium. Its description in RNAcentral is "partial 16S ribosomal RNA". It matches the Rfam family "Bacterial small subunit ribosomal RNA", at positions 524 to 776 of the family's 1533-position model. The record is from RNAcentral.